CUGGGAUAGGUGUGUGUGUGUGUUUAUCAUGACUGGGAUAGGUGUGUGUGUGUGUUUAUCAUGACUGGGAUAGGUGUGUGUGUGUGUUUACCAUGACUGGGAUAGGUGUGUGUGUGUUUACCAUGACUGGGAUAGGUGUGUGUGUUUAUCA
Molecule: long non-coding RNA, 151 nt
Organism: Oncorhynchus keta (chum salmon)
Lineage: Eukaryota; Metazoa; Chordata; Actinopteri; Salmoniformes; Salmonidae
Exons: 3
Source: RefSeq, a predicted model, not a curated record